Ictidomys tridecemlineatus (thirteen-lined ground squirrel) is the source of this 940-nucleotide non-coding RNA. The record is from RefSeq and is a predicted model, not a curated record. Lineage: Eukaryota; Metazoa; Chordata; Mammalia; Rodentia; Sciuridae.
GGUCAGCAGCCUGAAACAUAGAGAAAAAUAAAGCACAGCAGUGUUCAAAAGCAUUUCUUAAUACUUCAACAUGGCCAAAGUCACAGCGUGCCUUUGUCAGCACAGGAAGGACAGGAUUCUGUGCAUCCCGCAUUUCUGGAGGCCGUGAUGCCAGAUGUUGAUGACCUAAGGUAUCAUGUGACAGUAACAGAAGGCUGACUCACACACUCAAUAGUUCUAAAAUGUCUCCACGAGAAGAAAUGAAUCUCACCUAUGGAAGAAUUCCAAAUAAAUGACAUAGACAUGUCCCCCAAAGGAAGGCACACAGCUCCCCCUUCUCACAUAUGAGCUGUGCCUACUGAUUUCUUUCCAAAGAAUAUGGAAAGGUGGGGAGAUGAUCCUACUGUGGAGAAACCUGCAAACCCUAUGUUACAGGUGGUCAAGGUCAACUUCUACCAUCCUAAGUCAGGUUGACAGUAUCUACCUCGAGGUGACAUGAUGGAAAUGGCACUUUGCCUCUGUGAUCUUUCUCCAAAGGGACCUCAGUCCUCUCAUGAUAAAGACAUGGGACCAUGUACAGUACAGGAGCACACUGUGCUCCCUGGGAGAUUUCAAGGUCAUUAGAAAUAAGAACAGUCUGAGACAAUGUCACCUCCUAGCCCAGAGGAACCUAAAGUGCCAUGCCAAAUGGGAGGGUUCCUGGGAAGGGACCCUGGGAGGGGAAAGAGGACAUUGGGUAAAGAUCAAGGGAACCCUAAUGAACUGGGGGCUCCAGGGAACCAUGAGGGGUCCACGAUGCUCCCUCAACCAUAGCAGAGCAUCAAGCUGGAGCAGGAUCUCAGUGACAGGGGACACUGUGCACAGCGGGGACACUGUGAGAACCCUACCUGCACCGUCACUCCAUCAAUGUAAACCUGUCCUGAAGCCAGGUCCUCUACUAAUUAAAGGAGAGUGCUCCCUG